Molecule: ribosomal RNA, 254 nt
Filed under: uncultured bacterium
Lineage: Bacteria
Description: partial 16S ribosomal RNA
Rfam family: Bacterial small subunit ribosomal RNA
Source: RNAcentral
GACGAACCGUGCAAACGUCAUUCGGAAUCACUGGGCUUAAAGCGCGUGUAGGCGGGACGGCACGUCGGUCGUUGAAAUCCCCCGGCUCAACCGGGGAAGGGGCGCCGAUACGACCGUCCUGGAGGGGCGUAGGGGGACCUGGAACUUCCGGUGGAGCGGUGAAAUGCGUUGAGAUCGGAAGGAACGCCCGUGGCGAAAGCGAGGUCCUGGACGCCUACUGACGCUGAGACGCGAAAGCCAGGGGAGCGAACGGG